GCAAAAGAGCCACCAGAGCACCUGCUUUUCAGUUGGCAGCACAGAGAGUGCCCGGAUCCUGCUCGGAGGUCUGUGAGGACUGGCCCCAGAAAGGUUCCUUCACAUGCACCGCUAUGAAAACAAAGAGGAACAUCAGAAAAGACACCAGGUGAUUUGAGCUCUGCUGAAGGAAAGAGUUCUGCUAGCAACCCUGUGGAGGAGCUGAGGUAUGUCCUGAAGGAGGAGGCAAAAUUUUUCAUUUUCAAGUCAUGCCAUAAGAAUUUUUUUUCCCCCCCUCUCGCCUCUGAGGAGUUUGAAGGAGGGGGACCUGAACAAGUGCUUUAGAGGGUAAGGACCAGGAAAAGAGGUACCUGUUUUAUGGAAACCUAAUGCCAUUGAGGGAUGCUGUGACGAACACUGAGCCUCCACCUCAUCACCUUUUGGUCCUCACUGGCUUGCUGUGCAUCUCCAAGGUGUAAAUUUGGUCUAUUUCAAAGCAGGAAGCAGAUCUCAAGAAACAAGAUCUACUUUCAAGAUGCCUUCACUUUCCUGUCAAUCAUCUGUGGGGUCAUUUUUGCAGCUACAGAAUGAAUUAAUCUUGAUGCUGAAGGCAAAAGGCCCUUUCCUUGCUGUGUUUUAAUGACUUCCAUCAAUUUCACGCGAGCUGGAAGGGAGGUGGAGGAGAAAAGGAAAGCACAACAUAAGAGCUAACACUUAGGUCUUCAGCCUCACCCAGCAGGCAGCUGAAGGUCUGUGGAAGUCUUCCUCUGCACUGUAGGUAAGCACUGACGCCUCAAAUUUAGUUGAGUAUUUGCUUGUAUGUAACAGACUGAGUAACGCACAGCUGAUGAGACUGCAACACUGAGGCCUCAUUUAAUCCCAGAAGACAGGCAGACACACACACUGAUUAGACAAGCAACUACAACAAUGUAACUGAAAAACAGCUAAAAGCUGUAAUCACAUGGGGAGGGAGUCAUACUUUAAACUACAUCUUUAGUAAGGUGUAGAGCUGGACCUUAAAAAUGUAGGCUGACAAAA
Dromaius novaehollandiae (emu) is the source of this 1017-nucleotide long non-coding RNA. RefSeq lists it as uncharacterized. NCBI's taxonomy places the organism in Eukaryota, Metazoa, Chordata, Aves, Casuariiformes, Dromaiidae. The transcript is spliced from 3 exons. The record is from RefSeq and is a predicted model, not a curated record.